RNAcentral lists this ribosomal RNA (252 nucleotides) under uncultured bacterium. RNAcentral describes it as "partial 16S ribosomal RNA". It matches the Rfam family "Bacterial small subunit ribosomal RNA", at positions 524 to 775 of the family's 1533-position model. The record is from RNAcentral.
UACGGGGGGGGCAAGCGUUGUUCGGAAUUACUGGGCGUAAAGGGCUCGUAGGCGGCCAACUAAGUCGGAUGUGAAAUCCCCAAGCUUAACUUGGGAACUGCAUCCGAUACUGGAUGGCUUGAAUCCGGGAGAGGGAUGCAGAAUUCCAGGUGUAGCGGUGAAAUGCGUAGAUAUCUGGAGGAAUACCGGUGGCGAAGGCGGCAUCCUGGACCGGCAUUGACGCUGAGGAGCGAAAGCUAGGGGAGCAACGGG